Equus quagga is the source of this 1367-nucleotide long non-coding RNA. RefSeq lists it as uncharacterized. The transcript is spliced from 3 exons. The record is from RefSeq and is a predicted model, not a curated record. Lineage: Eukaryota; Metazoa; Chordata; Mammalia; Perissodactyla; Equidae.
UCCCACCUUGGAAAAAUUAUGUUACAGCUAUAUGGCCUAUAUUAACAUUUUUUUGGCCUUUUAUAAGUAACAGCUUUUGAAACUGGACAUUUAGCUAUCCAUUGUCAGUUGCUUGAGAAAAGAUCUCUCUUUUUUUUCUGGCUCUUUUAGAGCACUCCAAAAGAAUGAUUUCAGAGAAAUCAUAAAAAGAUUAAUUCAUAAUGAUGAAAUGAUGAAAUUCAAAAAUAUAAAUGCACCCCCCACCCCCCGCCCCAGUGUGUUAUCUAUGUAUCUAGAGCAUGAUGCAGUCACUUCAUCCACAUGAACCACAGAUUUCUACUGUGAUGACCUUAAUUAGGCCAGAAUAAUGACAGGAUCAAAAGGCCCACACACCCUGGAAAGCUUAGAGCCUUUUUAAGUAGGGAAAAAAGUUCUGGACUAGGCUGAUAUUACCAAAUUCCUGUCUUCCACUUUCUAAAGAGAAUCCUAUAGGUUGUAGCCUGUUUUCCUGUUUGUUAACGAUAAAAUGCUUAAUAUUCUACUAGCUCUUUCCGAAGCUCUUCAGCGUCACUGUCAUCCUGAGAGAACUCUGUCCCUGAAGGGGAAAAUAGUUUUCUUCACCCAGGGCCUCUUUCCUUGUAUUAACAUCCCGUGAGAAUAUUAGCUCUGGAGGAAAGAAUUUGAUGGCGAAAUUCCAUAUUUACUCAUGAAAUCCACCCCCAACUUCCAGUCACAUGUUUUAGUAGGACAGUCAGAAGAAAAAUUCCCCAUUCCCACUGCCCUGUCUUCCUGCUCCCCCUUAGCUUCUUCUGACACCCAUUCUGGGGUUUUUUUCUUCCUGAACCAAAAGCCACUUUUACUAGCAGAGGCUCUUUAAGGCAGAAAAAUACUUAAGUUAAAAAAAUUACUUGGCACUGGCUGGAAUAUAGACAGGAAAUGGAGUCUGUUCAGUCCUCUGGGCUCUAACCCCACCUGACUCCUCUUUUUUCCCCUCCCUUGGGUUGUAGGAAGGGUAUAUAAGAGUAUAUAAGGCUCAAUAAGAUGCAGGCAAUAUUGUGGGGUUGACAGGUUGCCUCUCUUUCCUUUCCUAGAAAUGUUGCUUCAAAGACCCAGAGAAAGAAAAGAAAUUCCUUAGUGCCAUUGAUUUCUUAAAAUGAUUUUUAAAUGGCUGUUUGCACAUGUGGCCGAGUAACAAAGCACAGGAACUCUGAUGCCACUUUUUGCAUUCAACUGUGGGCUCCAUAUGCCAUCUUGGUCCUACCUGGAUUCCAAAUAUUAUCAAAUGGCUCUUCACACAAGUUAUGGGUAACUCGGGAAUUGGCUCCCAUGAUACUACCAGCAAAAGCUCCUGCCAUGAGGACCUUGGAGGCCACACGCUCCAGAUGGCA